CCCUAGUAACGGCGAGUGAAGCGGGAACAGCUCAAAUUUGAAAUCUGGCCCUUGGGUCCGAGUUGUAAUUUGCAGAGGAUGCUUUUGGUGCGGUGCCUUCCGAGUUCCCUGGAACGGGACGCCUUAGAGGGUGAGAGCCCCGUACGGUUGGACACCAAGCCUAUGUAAAGCUCCUUCGACGAGUCGAGUAGUUUGGGAAUGCUGCUCAAAAUGGGAGGUAUAUUUCUUCUAAAGCUAAAUAUUGGCCAGAGACCGAUAGCGCACAAGUAGAGUGAUCGAAAGAUGAAAAGCACUUUGAAAAGAGGGUUAAAUAGCACGUGAAAUUGUUGAAAGGGAAGGAUUUAUGACCAGACUUUUUCUAGGGGGAUCAUCCGGUGUUCUCACCGGUGCACUUCCCCUAGUUGAGGCCAGCAUCGGUUUCUGUCGGGGGAUAAAAGCUUCAGGAAUGUGGCUCCCUCCGGGGAGUGUUAUAGCCUGUUGCAUAAUACCCUGACGGGGACCGAGGUUCGCGCAUUGCAAGGAUGCUGGCGUAAUGGUUAUUAAUCACCCGUCUUGAAACACGGACCAAGGAGUCGAACAUUUGUGCGAGUGUUUGGGUGUUAAACCCUCACGCGUAAUGAAAGUGAACGGAGGUGAGAGCCUUUCGGGGUGCAUCAUCGACCGAUCCUGAUGUCUUCGGAUGGAUUUGAGUAAGAGCAUUAAUGUUCGGACCCGAAAGAUGGUGAACUAUGCGUGGAUAGGGUGAAGCCAGAGGAAACUCUGGUGGAGGCUCGCAGCGGUUCUGACGUGCAAAUCGAUCGUCAAAUCUGCGCAUGGGGGCGAAAGACUAAUCGAACCAU
Molecule: ribosomal RNA, 839 nt
Filed under: Apiospora marii
Lineage: Eukaryota; Fungi; Ascomycota; Sordariomycetes; Amphisphaeriales; Apiosporaceae
Description: Arthrinium marii partial large subunit ribosomal RNA
Rfam family: Eukaryotic large subunit ribosomal RNA
Source: RNAcentral